GUGCAGCAGUCGCGAAACCUCCGCAAUGCGGGAAACCGUGACGGGGUCACCCCGAGUGCCACCCGAAGAGGGUGGCUUUUCCCCGGUCUAAAAAGCCGGGGGCAAUAAGCGGGGGGCAAGUCUGGUGUCAGCCGCCGCGGUAAUACCAGCCCCGCGAGUGGUCGGGACGUUUAUUGGGCCUAAAGCGUCCGUAGCCGGCCCGGUAAGUCCCUCCUUAAAUCCACGGGCUCAACCCGUGGGCUGGGAGGGAUACUGCCGGGCUAGGGGGCGGGAGAGGCCGAGGGUACUCCCGGGGUAGGGGCGAAAUCCGUUAAUCCCGGGAGGACCACCAGUGGCGAAGGCGCUCGGCUGGAACGCGCCCGACGGUGAGGGACGAAAGCUGGGGGAGCAAAGGGGAUUAGAUACCCGCGUAGU
Molecule: ribosomal RNA, 414 nt
Filed under: uncultured microorganism
Description: bacterial SSU rRNA
Rfam family: Archaeal small subunit ribosomal RNA
Source: RNAcentral